GAUGAAGAACGUAGCGAAAUGCGAAAAGUAAUGUGAAUUGCAGAAUUCAGUGAAUCAUCGAAUCUUUGAACGCACAUUGCGCCCGCUGGUACUCCGGCGGGCACGCCUGUCCGAGCGUCAUUUCAACCCUCAAGCCCUCCUUCGGGAUGGGCCUGGUGUUGUGGCUCGGCCGCCAUCUCCGGCGGCCGUCCCCUAAAUACAGUGGCGGUCACGUCGCGACUCCUUUGCGUAGUAGAAACACCUCGCUCCGGAUAGCAACGCGGUCCACGCCGUAAAAUCCCCAAUUUUCAAUGGUUGACCUCGGAUCAGGUGGGAAUACCCGCUGAACUUAAGCAUAUCAAUAAGCGGAGGA
RNAcentral lists this unclassified non-coding RNA (352 nucleotides) under soil metagenome. RNAcentral's name for it is "partial contains 5.8S ribosomal RNA, internal transcribed spacer 2, and large subunit ribosomal RNA". The stretch from base 1 to 120 matches the Rfam family "5.8S ribosomal RNA", at positions 35 to 154 of the family's 154-position model. The record is from RNAcentral.